UAAAUUUCAAACAGAAAUUAGUGGCUAGCAAGGUAACAGCUAAAUACCAUCUGCAUCAAUGCUAUCUAUCUGUAUCCUCUUUCUGGUGUGGGGCUUUAGACACAACUCCCACAGAGAGGAGGACAGAAACAGAGACUGGAACUGCCAUUGAGACUGCCUGUCUCACCCGUGAUUGAGGCAGUCUGUGGGAACUGGACCAGCAACUUGAUUGUUAUGUCUGGGCAACCAACUGCAGACCCCAGAGACCACGCACAUGGCUAAGCCAUGUUAGCAGAGCCUGGAGGAGAUCCUAUGACCAAGAAGAGAGAGAGCUGCAGGAAGUCAGAUUGGAACGGAAAAUAAGUAGCCUCAGAGUGAUUUUGUGCAGUAGAAGGUGAGGCUGAGAGAGCCCCAUAUCAGCAUAUUCCAUAGUCAGGGCACUGACCUGAGAGGUAGCAGAUGUCUGGACAAAAUCUCUUUUCCUCAUCAGACAGAGGAGGGACUUGAACCAGGGAUAUCCCACAUCCUGUGCCUGACCCUCAUCUGUGGUUAAGAUAUUGACCCCUGCCAUGUGACAACCUUCUGUAACACUUAGUGCUAGUUGAGAAUUUUCUGACAAAAUAUUUGUCAGAAAAUGCUGGUUCCUUGAAACUGAAACUUUUCCUGGAAACAUACUGGUUUUGUCUGAGCUUUCACAAGGAAGGUUUCCUCAGGUCCAGGAUGGAGUGUGGCGGGACACCCAGGUUCAAGUCUUUGCUGUGCCUGAAUUGGAAUCAAGUAACAUUUACAGUAACGGCAACUGCUGUUUGAAAGGAGAUUUUCCUGGUAAGAUGCCAUUUAAAAUGCCUGUACCCAGAAGGAAAUAGGAAUAAAGAAGAGGACUUAAUUGUCAUUUUCAUUUGUUUCCUCUUGACUUACACAAUAUUGGUGUAUAGUUAUCAGGUUGCCAAUUUACAGACAUUCACCCAUCUGGAGAAAGGACAGUUGUGGAAUUGCUGUAGGACAGUGGCAGGAUGAUGUCAAAGU
Chelonia mydas (Green sea turtle) is the source of this 1005-nucleotide long non-coding RNA. RefSeq lists it as uncharacterized. The record is from RefSeq and is a predicted model, not a curated record. Lineage: Eukaryota; Metazoa; Chordata; Testudines; Cheloniidae. The transcript has 3 exons.